Molecule: ribosomal RNA, 468 nt
Filed under: uncultured bacterium
Lineage: Bacteria
Description: partial 16S ribosomal RNA
Rfam family: Bacterial small subunit ribosomal RNA
Source: RNAcentral
GAUGAACGCUGGCGGCGUGCCUAAUACAUGCAAGUCGAACGGAAAGGCCCUGCUCUUGUUGGGUGCUCGAUUGGCGAACGGGUGAGUAACACAUGAGUAACCUGCCCCUGACUUUGGGAUAACAUCACGAAACUGGGGCUCAUACCGGAUAUGAGCUCCUGCUGCAUGGUGGUUGAUGGUAAGUUUCGGCCGUUGGGGAUGGACUCGCGGGUUCUCAGCUUGUUUGUGGGGUAGUGACUUACCAAGGCUUUGACGGGUAGCCGGCCUGAGAGGGGGACCGGCGACAAUGGGACUAAGAUACGGCCCAGAAGCCGAAGGGAAGCAGCGGUGGGGAAUAUUGCACAAUGGGCGGAAGCCUGAGGGAACGACGACGGGUGCGUGAAGACGGCCUUGGGGUUGUAAACCGAUUUCGCCGGUGACGAGGAGUGAGUGACGGUAAUGAAUAAAGAAGCACCGGCUAACUACGUG